RNAcentral lists this ribosomal RNA (268 nucleotides) under uncultured bacterium. RNAcentral's name for it is "partial 16S ribosomal RNA". It matches the Rfam family "Bacterial small subunit ribosomal RNA", at positions 335 to 599 of the family's 1533-position model. The record is from RNAcentral.
UUUCCUACGGGGCGCAGCAGUGAGGAAUAUUGGUCAAUGGGCUUACGCCUGAACCAGCCAAGUCGCGUGAGGGAAGACUGCCCUAUGGGUUGUAAACCUCUUUUGUCAGGGAGCAACGCCGGCUACGUGUAGCCGGACUGAGAGUACCUGAAGAAAAAGCAUCGGCUAACUCCGUGCCAGCAGCCGCGGUAAUACGGAGGAUGCGAGCGUUAUCCGGAUUUAUUGGGCGUAAAGCGAGUGCAGGCGGUUCAAUAAGUCUUAUGUGAAA